GAUUCUAUACACAUAUGAAUCUUCCCCAUAUUCGAAUAUCUGAAUGUCAGACUCAAGCUGAUGAUAUAUGAGGUAUGUGCCAUUCCAUUGGAUUAAUCCCAAUCUCUGCCUAAUUGAACAAAAAGUGUCCUUUAAUUAAUAAAGGUUAUUAAACGUUUUUUAAUUAGGUAUGGUCCUCGCUGUAUCAAUCAAGUCCCAUUGAAAUAUUGAAACGUUGUUCAUACAUCUUUGAAUGACCUUUUAUGUGCUGACAAUAUGUUCUGAAAUGAAGAGAUUUUACCCCUGAUGAAGUCUUGGAACAAGACGAAACGCGUUGGGUUAUUUAUCUAUCUAUUAUCUGAUGUUACCUCCGAAUCUACAAUAAGGAGAAGGAGGAAAUCGUAGUGAUAUAUCUACGCUUUUUCCUCAUCACUACAAACUGAUUGUUCAAAUUGUGCGACAAAUGUAAAUGUAUCAACUCUGUAUACUUAUGAACAUUUGUGUCGGGUUUAUAUGUUGUUUUAAUAAAUUUUUAUGUUAGUA
Pseudophryne corroboree (corroboree frog) is the source of this 522-nucleotide long non-coding RNA. RefSeq lists it as uncharacterized. The record is from RefSeq and is a predicted model, not a curated record. The transcript is spliced from 2 exons. Lineage: Eukaryota; Metazoa; Chordata; Amphibia; Anura; Myobatrachidae.